This 253-nucleotide ribosomal RNA is filed under the name uncultured bacterium. RNAcentral's name for it is "partial 16S ribosomal RNA". It matches the Rfam family "Bacterial small subunit ribosomal RNA", at positions 524 to 776 of the family's 1533-position model. The record is from RNAcentral.
UACGGAGGGUGCAAGCGUUGUUCGGAAUCAUUGGGCGUAAAGCGCGUGUAGGCGGCUAGGCAAGUCGGUUGUGAAAGCCCGGGGCCCAACCCCGGAACUGCAUCUGAAACUGCCUGGCUAGAGUCCCGGAGAGGAAGGCAGAAUUCCCGGUGUAGGGGUGAAAUCCGUAGAUAUCGGGAGGAACACCGAUGGCGAAGGCAGGUCACUGGGCCGCAACUGACGCUGAGGAGCGAAAGCAUGGGGAGCGAACAGG